Molecule: ribosomal RNA, 344 nt
Filed under: Synapha vitripennis
Lineage: Eukaryota; Metazoa; Arthropoda; Insecta; Diptera; Mycetophilidae
Description: partial 16S ribosomal RNA
Source: RNAcentral
UUUUUUAAUUGAAAACUAGAAUGAAUGGUUUAAUGAGAUAUUAGCUGUUUCAUAAAAAUUUUAUUAAAAAUUAAUUUUUUAGUUAAAAAGCUAAAAUAAAAUUUAAAGACGAGAAGACCCUAUAGAUUUUUAUAUAUAUAUUAUUAUUAUUUAUUUAUAAUUUUUAAAAUUUUAGUAUAAUUUGUAUUUUGUUGGGGUGACAGUAAAAUUUUUUUAUCUUUUAUUAUAAAAAUUAACAAUGAUUUUUGGUUAAAUUGAUCCUAUUUUAUAGAUUAUAAGAUUAAAUUACCUUAGGGAUAACAGCGUAAUUGUUUUGAAGAGUUCUUAUCGAUAAAAAAAUUUGC